This 333-nucleotide long non-coding RNA is filed under the name Gossypium barbadense (sea-island cotton). Its description in RNAcentral is "long non-coding RNA (GBAR_LNC015786)". The record is from RNAcentral. Lineage: Eukaryota; Viridiplantae; Streptophyta; Magnoliopsida; Malvales; Malvaceae.
GAAAAUGGGGUUGUUGAAUUUGUUUUUUUAUUUCUUAUUUCUUGAAUUUUUUUGCAAAAAGGGGGGGGGGCCUCUGUUACAGAGAGGAUACUUGGCUUUAUAGCCAAUUUUACAUGCUAUUUUAGUCUUCUUUUUUCUUUUUCUCUGUUUGCCACUGUGCUUUGCGUGAUUUUCUUCUUUGCAGGCAAGUGGGGUGAUGGGCGAGCGGCAGAGCAGUGGAGCAGGUGAGCAGCGAUGGGACGUGCGGCGGCCAGCAAGUGAACGGCGGAGUUGGUGGGUCUGCUGGUAUGGGUUCUUUUGUUUCUUUCUUGGGUCCGGGCAAAUGGGCCUGCA